This 251-nucleotide ribosomal RNA is filed under the name uncultured bacterium. RNAcentral describes it as "partial 16S ribosomal RNA". It matches the Rfam family "Bacterial small subunit ribosomal RNA", at positions 524 to 776 of the family's 1533-position model. The record is from RNAcentral.
UACGGAGGGGGCUAGCGUUGUUCGGAAUUACUGGGCGUAAAGCGCACGUAGGCGGCUUUGUAAGUUAGAGGUGAAAGCCCGGGGCUCAACCCCGGAAUUGCCUUUAAGACUGCAUCGCUUGAAUCCGGGAGAGGUGAGUGGAAUUCCGAGUGUAGAGGUGAAAUUCGUAGAUAUCGGAAGGAACACCAGUGGCGAAAGCGGCUCCUGGUCCGAGCACCGACGUUCAGGCACGAAAGCGUGGGAGCAACAGG